This 399-nucleotide ribosomal RNA is filed under the name uncultured bacterium. RNAcentral describes it as "bacterial SSU rRNA". It matches the Rfam family "Bacterial small subunit ribosomal RNA", at positions 359 to 775 of the family's 1533-position model. The record is from RNAcentral.
GAAUAUUGGACAAUGGGCGAAAGCCUGAUCCAGCCAUGCCGCGUGAGUGGAGAAGGCCUUCGGGUUGUAAAGCUCUUUCGACGGGGACGAUGAUGACGGUACCCGUAUAAGAAGCCCCGGCAAACUUCGUGCCAGCAGCCGCGGUAAUACGAAGGGGGCUAGCGUUGUUCGGAAUUACUGGGCGUAAAGCGCGCGUAGGCGGUGGUCCAUGUCAGAGGUGAAAGCCUGGAGCUCAACUCCAGAAUUGCCUUUGAAACGGGAUCGCUAGAGUCCGAGAGAGGAUGGCGGAAUUCCUAGUGUAGAGGUGAAAUUCGUAGAUAUUAGGAAGAACACCGGUGGCGAAGGCGGCCAUCUGGCUCGGUACUGACGCUCAGGCGCGAAAGCGUGGGGAGCAAACAG